RNAcentral lists this ribosomal RNA (1372 nucleotides) under uncultured bacterium. RNAcentral's name for it is "bacterial SSU rRNA". It matches the Rfam family "Bacterial small subunit ribosomal RNA", at positions 28 to 1381 of the family's 1533-position model. The record is from RNAcentral.
GAUGAACGCUGGCGGCGUGCCUAAUACAUGCAAGUCGAGCGAACAGAUAAGGAGCUUGCUCCUUUGACGUUAGCGGCGGACGGGUGAGUAACACGUGGGUAACCUACCUAUAAGACUGGGAUAACUUCGGGAAACCGGAGCUAAUACCGGAUAAUAUUUCGAACCGCAUGGUUCGAUAGUGAAAGAUGGUUUUGCUAUCACUUAUAGAUGGACCCGCGCCGUAUUAGCUAGUUGGUAAGGUAACGGCUUACCAAGGCGACGAUACGUAGCCGACCUGAGAGGGUGAUCGGCCACACUGGAACUGAGACACGGUCCAGACUCCUACGGGAGGCAGCAGUAGGGAAUCUUCCGCAAUGGGCGAAAGCCUGACGGAGCAACGCCGCGUGAGUGAUGAAGGUCUUCGGAUCGUAAAACUCUGUUAUUAGGGAAGAACAUACGUGUAAGUAACUGUGCACGUCUUGACGGUACCUAAUCAGAAAGCCACGGCUAACUACGUGCCAGCAGCCGCGGUAAUACGUAGGUGGCAAGCGUUAUCCGGAAUUAUUGGGCGUAAAGCGCGCGUAGGCGGUUUUUUAAGUCUGGUGUGAAAGCCCACGGCUCAACCGUGGAGGGUCAUUGGAAACUGGAAAACUUGAGUGCAGAAGAGGAAAGUGGAAUUCCAUGUGUAGCGGUGAAAUGCGCAGAGAUAUGGAGGAACACCAGUGGCGAAGGCGACUUUCUGGUCUGUAACUGACGCUGAUGUGCGAAAGCGUGGGGAUCAAACAGGAUUAGAUACCCUGGUAGUCCACGCCGUAAACGAUGAGUGCUAAGUGUUAGGGGGUUUCCGCCCCUUAGUGCUGCAGCUAACGCAUUAAGCACUCCGCCUGGGGAGUACGACCGCAAGGUUGAAACUCAAAGGAAUUGACGGGGACCCGCACAAGCGGUGGAGCAUGUGGUUUAAUUCGAAGCAACGCGAAGAACCUUACCAAAUCUUGACAUCCUUUGACAACUCUAGAGAUAGAGCUUUCCCCUUCGGGGGACAAAGUGACAGGUGGUGCAUGGUUGUCGUCAGCUCGUGUCGUGAGAUGUUGGGUUAAGUCCCGCAACGAGCGCAACCCUUAAGCUUAGUUGCCAUCAUUAAGUUGGGCACUCUAAGUUGACUGCCGGUGACAAACCGGAGGAAGGUGGGGAUGACGUCAAAUCAUCAUGCCCCUUAUGAUUUGGGCUACACACGUGCUACAAUGGACAAUACAAAGGGCAGCGAAACCGCGAGGUCAAGCAAAUCCCAUAAAGUUGUUCUCAGUUCGGAUUGUAGUCUGCAACUCGACUACAUGAAGCUGGAAUCGCUAGUAAUCGUAGAUCAGCAUGCUACCGUGAAUACGUUCCCGGGUCU